CUCAGGACGAACGCUGGCGGCGUGCUUAACACAUGCAAGUCGAACGAUGAAGCCCAGCUUGCUGGGUGGAUUAGUGGCGAACGGGUGAGUAACACGUGGGUGAUCUGCCCUGCACUCUGGGAUAAGCCUGGGAAACUGGGUCUAAUACCGGAUAUGACCUCGGGAUGCAUGUCCUGGGGUGGAAAGUUUUUCGGUGCAGGAUGAGCCCGCGGCCUAUCAGCUUGUUGGUGGGGUAAUGGCCUACCAAGGCGACGACGGGUAGCCGGCCUGAGAGGGCGACCGGCCACACUGGGACUGAGACACGGCCCAGACUCCUACGGGAGGCAGCAGUGGGGAAUAUUGCACAAUGGGCGCAAGCCUGAUGCAGCGACGCCGCGUGAGGGAUGACGGCCUUCGGGUUGUAAACCUCUUUCACCCAUGACGAAGCGCAAGUGACGGUAGUGGGAGAAGAAGCACCGGCCAACUACGUGCCAGCAGCCGCGGUAAUACGUAGGGUGCGAGCGUUGUCCGGAAUUACUGGGCGUAAAGAGCUCGUAGGCGGUUUG
RNAcentral lists this ribosomal RNA (545 nucleotides) under Rhodococcus pyridinivorans. RNAcentral's name for it is "bacterial SSU rRNA". It matches the Rfam family "Bacterial small subunit ribosomal RNA", at positions 23 to 582 of the family's 1533-position model. The record is from RNAcentral. Lineage: Bacteria; Bacillati; Actinomycetota; Actinomycetes; Mycobacteriales; Nocardiaceae.